AACUAACCAUUUUUCUUCAAAAUAAUUUUCAAGAAAAUAUUUUUCUCUAUCAUGAAGAUUUCAUUGAAAUAAACCGAUCUGAAUUUAAUUGCGGGGGUGAGAAGUGGUCUUGAAAUAAAUUUUAUUUUUCUCUGAUGGCUUUCUUUUUCUUCACACGUGCGGCUAACCAACCCUACAGCAGCUGUCCUUUAGGAGCCCCCGCACGAAGAACAAGAAGAAGCCGGCGAGACCUGCGUUCCAGUUAGCUUCCGCGUUCAUAUUACAUCAGCUACAACAAAGGCAGUGAGGAAGACGGUAGAGGCCACGACACCGGCAUAUCCAACGGGAUUGAAGGCGACGAUGGAGACGACAGCAUCUUCGACAGGAUCAAAGGCGACGAUGGAGACAACGGCAGAUGGAGGGUCAAAAAUUGGACAAGCCGGCAAGAGAGUAAUGGGAGCAGAGUAGAGCAGUGCAAAGUAAUAACAAAAGUCGGAAGUGGCGGCCUCAAGUAGCCAAUGUCUUUUUCACUGAGGGGAUCCUUCUUGAUAUCGUACUGGACCAGACAAGCAAGUCAUCCAAGGUCUUCAGCAAAAUAUGUGGUGCAGAUUGCACCGUCACUCUUUCAUUUAAUUCUCUCUCUCUCUUAGUCUUGGCUCAAGGAAAUUAUUGGCUAGCGUUCAUUUUCUUCCAUUAAUUUUUGCUAUUCUUUUCUGAUUUUUUGUCGAGCUAUUCAAGCCAGG
RNAcentral lists this long non-coding RNA (722 nucleotides) under Eucalyptus grandis. Its description in RNAcentral is "long non-coding RNA (EGRA_LNC007504)". The record is from RNAcentral. Lineage: Eukaryota; Viridiplantae; Streptophyta; Magnoliopsida; Myrtales; Myrtaceae.